UGUGAACAGGUUAUGACAAUUUGAAUCAGUUGAUAUUAGUUACUUAUAAGUCUUAUAAGUCUCAUCAAGGUUUUUAAACAUUCCGUCCAAAGAAGACUAAUGCAGACUUGAAAAAAUAGACAGUGUGUCUCCACUUCUAAGGCAUGAAAUCAGAGCUACAUUCCAAAAAUAUGUGAAUUACCAAAAAAAGACCACAAACUUUGUCUAUUUAAAAGUGUGUAUUUAAUGUUUUUAGGACUGUUACGUUACAGUCUUUUGUUUCAUUGUAAGCUCUAUUGAACAGUAUUUCGAAGGUAAUUCACUGAGCUUAUACGGAUCAGUCUGACCCUAGAUGAACAAUGCUUCUUAUUGGUUUUAGAUUAAUAAUCCAUACACAGCACUAGUUUUCUUACUUAAUUUUUCACAACUCUUUCUCAGGAGUUGAAGAGUUACUGAGAGUUCAGUUCAUCUGUCUUCUCUCAAAUAAAGAGAGACUCCCUGCAAAUAUGUCUAAUCUUCCUUAGCUCUUUCAUAACCAUCACUUUUCCCUCUCUCUGUGGGACAUGAUACGUUCGCUCCGUCAGCUUGAGGCUUAUCGCUGUGUUUAAAGGGUAAGAAAACACUGGGAUGUUUGGUUUCUAAUAGGCCUGUGUGGUGUAAUUGGCUAAUUGCUUGAUUUUUCUCUGAAGGGUUCUGUGUUCUGUCACAGAGGCAGGAGGCCAUAAACACAUAUGAGCAUCUCCCUCACUGUCAAGGCUUUCUGAGUUGUAAUUGGCUGAGAGCUGCACUGUCAGCUGAUUGGCCGGGCUGAGGAUGAAUGGCCACGCUGACAACCAAUGGGGCCAGAUGAGGGUGAGCCGGGUGAGAUAUGGGACGCCGCAUUCUUGAGCAUAAUCAAAUCUUUGGAGCUUUCACUGAUGAAAAGAGCAACUAGGACUCGGAUCUCGUCAAAAUAUCUCAUUUGUUGUUCCCUGGAAGCAAGAAAAGUUUGGAAAUUACAUUUGGUCGACUUCCUCUCUGCGCCACAGAACUUCCUGUGUUGAUUCCGUGAAAGCAGACCCACCAGCUUCCCCCCAGCGGAAUGAGUGCAUGCCUGUGCACGUGGGUGCCCAUCUUAUAUAUUGUAAGUCACUGCCACCUACCACACUCAGCAUUCUCUUUCUGCACCCUGCAGUCAUUUAGCCUGCUUCAGUAUUUGUCUACAGGGUGUGACUGCUAUAAAUGUGGCUACUUCAGUGUGUUCAGUGUAUUUGAUACCAAUUUAUUGUAAGUUUUGCAACCAAUUAUGGGUCAAUGACAUAAUACAAAUAUUUUUGAAGCGCCAACCUGUUGUUAUUAUUAUGAACAUAUUUUUGUUCAUUUAAAUAAUUAGGUCAUUAAUUCAUUCAAAUUAAAUUUGAUAUUUUUUACAUUUGUCAGGUCGAUACUAGUUUCAUAAUGGGAACAUUAAAACAAUGAAAUAAAUCAUUUAAAGGAGAACUUUAGUAAGUAAGCAACAGUGUUGUUAUUUCUUGGGAAUACAAAUAUUUUUAAAAUAUGGUAAAAAAAAAAUUGCUUCAGCUUUUAUUCAUAUUUUUAUUAAUUCAUAUUUUAUGUUAGUCAUUAUAUUUAAUGUGAUGCCACAGAAACGUAGUCCUAUUUUUGAAUUAACAAUGUGUGAUAUUUGUUUGAAAAAUAUGUCUUAUAUUGACCAGUAUAUUUCAACUCUCACAUGUAAUCAGGAUGUAAAAUGUCAUGUGGUGCAACUCCAUAGAAACAGUGAUAUUUAAGAAUUGAUAGUUUUGUGAUCUUAAAAAAAAAAAAAAAAACGAACAAAAAAAAUGUUUGAAUUUUUGGAAAUAACUAUUAAGCACAAUUAUAUAUAUAUAUAUAUAUAUAUAUAUAUAUAUAUAUAUAUAUAUAUAUAUAUAUAUAUAUAUAUAUGCAUAUUCUAUAUUGAGGAUGCAGACCACAUGUGGUGCAACUCCAUGGAUUAAUGGAUGGGAUUAUUUUUAUUUCAUUUUAUGUAAAAAAAAAAAAAAAAAAAAAAAAAAAAAAAAAACACUAAAACACUUCCUACUCUGAAAUAUAUAUAUAUAUAUAUAAAAUAUAUUUGAAAUUAAGAUGAUUAAUAAUUUUGAAUAAUGCAAUUAAUAAUUAACGAUUCAAAGUUGUGAGGAAACAUAACAAAUAAAUAAAUAAAAUCCCUUUUUGAUUGCUAAUACCACAUGACAUUUUUAGAACCAUUAAACUAAAACUUUUCUUGAAAAUGGUAUAAACAAUUUUUUUUUUAAAACCUUAUGAAACCAACAGGAAUACAAAGAAUUUAGCAAGUGUUUUGCACUAGAUUUGUAUUGUUUGCACUCUUUGACCGAUGCUUAGAACCGCCAGCACAAAAUACUCAAGUGCAGCCUCUGUCACCUCGACUGAAGGGCAAACAGAGACCGUCUGGCUCGGUGAGGUCACCUGUGACCUGGGAAACACACAGAAUUUUGCAGAAGCAUAUGACAGAUGAAAAGAUUUUCAAUCUAUGGCAUGUCCAAACAAAUGUUCUAAUGAUUUAGGAUAUGGGCUUACAUUUGAAAUACACAUAAAGUGAAAUAGGCCUAUAUCUAUUUAUGCUACAGUGAUUUUCCAUCAUUAGAAACGAAGAAAUGGUGACUUGUGAAUCUCUGUGUUAAGAUUACAUUAUUCUUUGGGGAUUGGUAACCAAAGCUCCCCUGUUCCCGACCCCGGUCCUGUAUCUUUCUUUCCUCUCUCGUUCUUGUUUGAUGUCACUGUAAGUGGAGUCUCUGGGUGGGCUUGGACGGUAUCGGGUCUUGGACUGACUGACUGCUCCAUCAUGUUGUUUUCUGGCAGCACUACAGACAAAUGAUCAAGACACAUCCAUUCCUUUGCUCCGUAGCGGAACAGAGCGAUCUGGCCAUGCCUUGUGCUGUUAAACAGCAAUGGUCCUGGUUUUCAUCCUUUCCUUACCGGCAGGUUUAAAGACACUCUGUUGAGUUUAUCAAAAGUAGUUUAAGAGCAGAAACGACAUCAGGACUUCCAAUGGGAAAUCAUGCGUGUGUGUGUAAGCGUGUUAGUUUAUAUACAGCAUCUCUGAUGAAUCACUGUGGUUGUGAAUUACACAGCAUCCUCUAGUGAAUGACUGCAGAACUGCUUCAAAACUGCACCUGGAUUUGUAAUUUUAGACUAAAGCUAAAGCAAAACCUUGUCUGCUGCUGUCAUGAUAUCAGCUUAAUUAAAUAUCAAGACAAAUUGGGGAUUAUGUAUACUUUUUUGUAUUCAUAUUUAAAAUUUCUUGUUGAAAAUGUGUAAAAAGAAAAAAAAAUAGUAUAAUGCUCAAUGUAAGCAUUUUCAAUAGUUAUAUUAGACGUUUGGAUCCCAUUGUAUUUGGGAAUCAUUUACAUCUGUUUUUAUAGCCAAAGUAAUAUAGCUUUUUUUUCACAAAACACAGGUAGCCCAUUGUUCUUUCAUGCGAACUGCCAUUUUAUGAUGACUGAGCUUGUUUCUGCAGUGUUAGACGUCUUUUGAGUUACAUAAACAUUUAUGCAGCAGUAUUUUUUUAAAGGAGGAUUCGCCAUGCCUUGUAAAUCUGUCUCAUGCUUUGAAGUCUUAUCUGGCUCAAGACAUGGAUCGUAGUGCUGCUCUGAUCCUAUGGAAUCCCAGUCCCUCGUGUGUGUGUGUAUGUGUGUGUGUGUGUGUGUGUGUUCCUACACUAUGAACAGCCCCCAGAAAACCUUGAUGCAUAUUUUACUGUUGAACGUUCAAGUGAUGUGAUUAAUGAAAUGUAAAAGAUAAAACACUUUUUUUCUAUGUCGUAAUUUGAAUUUGUACAUUUAACAUACAUAAAUCAGGUAUUCAAGCAAUAUGGAUUGUUUUUCCCAGGGGCAGACUAUUGUUAGCGUAAAAGUGUCUGUGUUUGAGUGGUGUCUGUGUGUGUGUGUGUGUGUGUGUGUGUGUGUGUGUGCAUUUGUAACAUUUAUCAGCAAUCCCUGUUUGUUCAUUAUAGUAUGGGAAUAUUGAUGAAUGUUUCCUGUGUUAAUCCUAUAGUUUAGGCAUAUAUAUACUUUUAAAACGUGCUGUUACUCCCCCAAGUGGGCAAAAUGCAGAUCACAUAUCAGAUUAGCAGAUUUUACGCUUUGCUUCAUGAACCUUUAGAAACCAGUUUGCAUAGAUCUGUCUCCAUUUGCUAUCAAGAUUGGUGUAGUUGCGCUAUAUAUCCAUAUGCAAUCCACAGUGAUUAGCCUAUUACAUGUGAAUCUGGUUUAGUCUACAGUAGAAUAGUGUGCGGCACAUGACUCAGCUCACUGACCUGGUCCGUCUGGUACUGCAGAAUCAGAUAUUGCUAUCAUCUGUCUCGCUGACUUCUGGUGUCAUUCUCUCAGAGCUGCAGUUCAUAGGUUUGAAUAGCUCAUGCUGGACCAGAGCCCUGCUGAUUCAUCUUAUUUAAUAUGCAUAGACAGAAAGGUGACCUGGCCUGUUCAUUCACUUAUAGACCCAAGUUUAUGCCAGCGUCAACACUCAGCACUCUUUGUUGUGGAGUAUUGAGAACUGUGAGUCCUAACUUUAAAUGCAUCAGCCAGGAUAUAUGAAGUGUGUCUCUGUUUUGAAGCUCUAUUUGGAACUUCUCUGAGUACCUUUACAAAACAUUACAAUGUCUUUAGUGAAGUAAAAGUUUUUUUUGACUAAAUCUAUGGUUCACAUUCCACACAUUAACUUAACACAUUAAGUUUUUUUAGUUUAACCUUGUUUUUCCCUUAUUAUAACUAUGUUUUCACAAAUGCCAUGAAAUCUUAUAGAUUUAUUCGCAAUUCAGCCAAAUAGUCUCACCUCUGACCGCCUUGACCUCCCUCAGAAAUACGCUCAGGUGGUCUAAUACAGCUGAAACUGUAUUUUCCAACCUCAAGAGGCACUUCGUUUUGGCUUCCAUCUUAGUCACCCCUGAUCCCAAACGUCAGUUCCUGGUGGAGGUCGACGCAUCAGUGGUGGGAGUAGGUGCAGUUCUUUCCCAUCGUGCUGCCUCAGACGACAAGAUGCAUCAUUGCGCGUUUACUCCCUAGUGUGUUUUACCUCAGAUAAUAGUCAUCUCAUCACUCAUAUGGGAGGUUGAAUCAAAAGUCAAGACGGCCUUAGAAGGGGUAAUGCCUCCGCCCGAGUGCCCACUGAAUCGGUUGUACGUUCCAGAGGAGUUACGGUCCAACGUUAUUCAGUGGGGUGCCCUCGAGCUGGCGAGGUAUGUACCGCCAUGGACGCUCGAGGCGGUGGGCUGGAGCGAGUUUCCGGGGACAGGCGAGCUAGCUGCCGGCCGCCCACGAUGAGGAGGGGCGGCUGCCGUCCGUGAGGGAGCGGAGGAGUCGGCGCCGUUGGCCAGGGGGC
This 5337-nucleotide long non-coding RNA is filed under the name Carassius auratus (goldfish). RNAcentral's name for it is "lncRNA (ENSCARG00000051732.1)". Lineage: Eukaryota; Metazoa; Chordata; Actinopteri; Cypriniformes; Cyprinidae. The record is from RNAcentral.